This 498-nucleotide ribosomal RNA is filed under the name uncultured bacterium. RNAcentral describes it as "partial 16S ribosomal RNA". It matches the Rfam family "Bacterial small subunit ribosomal RNA", at positions 29 to 523 of the family's 1533-position model. The record is from RNAcentral.
AUUGAACGCUGGCGGAAUGCUUUACACAUGCAAGUCGAGCGGCAGCGCGGGGCAACCUGGCGGCGAGCGGCGAACGGGUGAGUAACAUAUCGGAACGUGCCCAUUGGUGGGGGAUAACACAUCGAAAGAUGUGCUAAUACCGCAUAAGACCUGAGGGUGAAAGGGGGGGAUCGCAAGACCUCUCGCCGUUGGAGCGGACGAUAUCGGAUUAGCUAGUUGGUGGGGUAAAGGCUCACCAAGGCGACGAUCCGGAGCUGGUCUGAGAGGAUGAUCAGCCACACUGGAACUGAGACACGGUCCAGACUCCUACGGGAGGCAGCAGUGGGGAAUUUUGGACAAUGGGGGCAACCCUGAUCCAGCCAUUCCGCGUGAGUGAAGAAGGCCUUCGGGUUGUAAAGCUCUUUCGGCAGGAACGAAACGGUUUGGGCUAAUACCCUGAGCUAAUGACGGUACCUGAAGAAGAAGCACCGGCUAACUACGUGCCAGCCGCCGCCGUAA